This 1945-nucleotide long non-coding RNA is filed under the name Ornithorhynchus anatinus (platypus). RNAcentral describes it as "lncRNA (ENSOANG00000039810.1)". The record is from RNAcentral. Lineage: Eukaryota; Metazoa; Chordata; Mammalia; Monotremata; Ornithorhynchidae.
ACUAAACGCUUGGAAAGUGCUUGGCACAUAGUAAGCGCUUAACAAACACCAUCCUUAUAAUUAUUAUGAAAAUUCGCCAAUAGAGACAACCCCUACCCAACGGGCUCACGGUCUAGUUGCUCUGAAGAGGACAGGGAUUCUUUCUUUCCCUUUUCUCCCCCAUCCGGGCGGGAUGAGAGCCCCGUGGCGGCCUGCUGACGUUACCAGUGACAAGGGAAAAAGGCGGCUCUCUUGGGGGAGGCCUAGCUAGGGAAAAUCCCACUUCUGCCACUGUCACCUCGGGUAAGUCACUUCACCUAGGCCUAAAUUUCCGUGCCAAGAGGGCAAGGAACUGGCUCUUUCCGGGCAGUGCGGGCAGGAGGGGCCACGUUUUUCCUCUGGAGAUGGGGAAGGGCGGAGCACGUGCUCAGCCAGCCCAGCUGCUGCAUCCGCAAACCCCGGCCCGCUCGGGCCAUGGCUGCUGGGGGUGGAAGGGACUCGCCUCAGCUGUGUCCCUGGGACCUGGCAGUGACGACGGAGGAGCGGCACCCAGGAAGUCUCUGUUCCACCUGCUGCACUGCUUCCAGCUUGGCUGGCACGGGGAGCCACCCAACACCUGCCCCUCAGUGGGGUUUUAAACAAGGUCACCAGGCUUUUUUUCCAGCAGCGGGACCGGAAGGGUGGAGAAUCCCUGUACACUAAGCACGUGUCCACAGGACCACAGACAAAUGUACAAGAGACGGAUCCGGCUGCUGGCCAAAGUGUCAACCCGAUUCCACUCUUGGUUUCUGCGGGACUGAAGCCAGAUCUCCAGGCAAAUGUCUUCCAGUUGGCUGUGAAAGGUUCUCACGGGACUUCUCUUUGACACAUUUUGGCUAGAUGAAGAUGAGGUCUCAUAGAAGGGAUAAAAUUAUCUUGGAGUCUAAGAACGCAUAUAAUUUGCCUUGUGUUACUCACCUGGCCUAGGUUUUGGAGCCUCUGGAAGCUAAGCACCCACGUGGAGACCUCGGGAAAUGCCAUCUCAUCUUUCAAGUUUUGUAAAGGGAGGCAGUGGGGUUGGUGGAAAGAGCUCGGGAUUGGGAUUUAGAAAAUUUGGGUUCUAAUCUCAGCUUGGCCACUGGUCUGUUGUGUGCCCUUGGGCAUGUUAAUUUAGAAAAUUUUACUUUUCAAUGCCAUUAAGCGCUACGUGUUCUAAGCACUGAGGUAGAUAGAAAUUAACCUUAUUGGAUACACUCCAUCCGUCACAGGGCUCAUACUUUAAGUGGAGGGGGGAGGAUUUUAAUCCUCAUUUUACAGAUGAGCUGUGCCACAGAGAAGUUAAGUGACUUGCCUGUGGUCACAAAGCAGACAAGUGGCAGAGCAGGUAUUAGAACCCGGGUCCUCUCACUUCCAGGCUCGUGCUUUUUCCACUAGGCCACAUUGCUUUUCUACUCAGUCUCGCUGAGUCUCAGUUUCCUCUCUUGAAGCAUGGGGCUAAGAUGUCUCCUUUUGCCCUCCCUCUUAGAUCGUGUCUCAUGUGGGACAGGAACUCAUGUUCAGUCUGAUUGCCUUGUAUCGGCCUCAGUGCUAAGCACAGUGCUCCGGCACCUAGGAAAUGCCGAAUUAAAUGCCCAUUUAAUGCAGCCUGCCUCAGGUCAGUGACAUGGGCACCCCUGGGGAAGACUCUGUCAGCUGCCACCGAGUCCCAAUCAUUAUGGUAUUUAAGCGCUUAGUAUGUGCCAAGCGCUGUUCUACGUGCUGGAGUAGAUACAAGAUAAUCUGGUUAGACAUAGUCCCUGUCCCACAUGGGGCUCACACUCUCAAUCCCCGUUUUACAGAUGAGGUAACUGAAGCUCAGAGAAGUUGAGUGACUUGCCAAAGGUCACACAGCAGGCAGGUGGCAGAGCCGGGAUUAGAACCUAUCCCCUUCUGACUCCCAGGCCAGUGCUUUAUCCACUAGGCCAUGCUGCUCCCCAAGGUGAACGAC